Molecule: small RNA, 545 nt
Filed under: Pan troglodytes (chimpanzee)
Lineage: Eukaryota; Metazoa; Chordata; Mammalia; Primates; Hominidae
Description: processed transcript
Source: RNAcentral
CUUUAAAUAUGGUCUUUCUUGGGCGCGCGCGACAAUGUGAGGAGUGGGGUGGAGCGUGUGUGGUGUGUGGCUGCGGCCUGGGCAAGAGCCGCCGCGGACCAUGAGGUCACUUUAUCAGUCUGCCUGGGGUCACAGGAGAAGUACUGAACAUGAGAGAUCAAGCCUGAUUUGUAGUCCUGAUGAUGUCUGGAUAUUUCCCCCAAAAAUGGCCUUAAGACAUUUUUCUCUCGAGAAAAUUAUAAAGAUCAUUCCAUGGCUCCAAGUUUAAAAGAACUACGUGUUUUAUCCAACAGAGAGAGCAGAGGAGUUAUGUGGACUUGUUGGUUAAAUACGCAAAGAUUCCUGCAAAUUCCAAAGCUGUUGGAAUAAAUAAAAAUGACUACUUGCAGUACUUGGAUAUGAAAAAACAUGUGAACGAAGAAGUUACUGAGUUCCUAAAGUUUUUGCAGAAUUCUGCAAAGAAAUGUGCGCAGGAUUAUAAUAUGCUUUCUGAUGAUGCCCGUCUCUUCACAGAGAAAAUUUUAAGAGCUUGCAUUGAACAAGUG